AACGAACGCUGGCGGCAUGCCUAACACAUGCAAGUCGAACGAGACCUUCGGGUCUAGUGGCGCACGGGUGCGUAACGCGUGGGAACCUGCCCUUAGGUUCGGAAUAACUCCCCGAAAGGGGUGCUAAUACCGGAUAAUGUCUUCGGACCAAAGAUUUAUCGCCUUUGGAUGGGCCCGCGUUGGAUUAGCUAGUUGGUAGAGUAAAAGCCUACCAAGGCGACGAUCCAUAGCUGGUCUGAGAGGAUGAUCAGCCACACUGGGACUGAGACACGGCCCAGACUCCUACGGGAGGCAGCAGUAGGGAAUAUUGGACAAUGGGCGAAAGCCUGAUCCAGCAAUGCCGCGUGAGUGAUGAAGGCCUUAGGGUUGUAAAGCUCUUUUACCCGGGAUGAUAAUGACAGUACCGGGAGAAUAAGCUCCGGCUAACUCCGUG
Molecule: ribosomal RNA, 433 nt
Filed under: uncultured bacterium
Lineage: Bacteria
Description: partial 16S ribosomal RNA
Rfam family: Bacterial small subunit ribosomal RNA
Source: RNAcentral